This 827-nucleotide ribosomal RNA is filed under the name Arthrobacter sp. ThV-I. RNAcentral's name for it is "bacterial SSU rRNA". It matches the Rfam family "Bacterial small subunit ribosomal RNA", at positions 620 to 1444 of the family's 1533-position model. The record is from RNAcentral. Lineage: Bacteria; Bacillati; Actinomycetota; Actinomycetes; Micrococcales; Micrococcaceae.
UCUGCGGUGGGUACGGGCAGACUUGAGUGAUGUAGGGGAGACUGGAAUUCCUGGUGUAGCGGUGAAAUGCGCAGAUAUCAGGAGGAACACCGAUGGCGAAGGCAGGUCUCUGGGCAUUAACUGACGCUGAGGAGCGAAAGCAUGGGGAGCGAACAGGAUUAGAUACCCUGGUAGUCCAUGCCGUAAACGUUGGGCACUAGGUGUGGGGGACAUUCCACGUUUUCCGCGCCGUAGCUAACGCAUUAAGUGCCCCGCCUGGGGAGUACGGCCGCAAGGCUAAAACUCAAAGGAAUUGACGGGGGCCCGCACAAGCGGCGGAGCAUGCGGAUUAAUUCGAUGCAACGCGAAGAACCUUACCAAGGCUUGACAUGAACCGGAACGGCGCAGAGAUGUGUCGGCCACUUGUGGCCGGUUUACAGGUGGUGCAUGGUUGUCGUCAGCUCGUGUCGUGAGAUGUUGGGUUAAGUCCCGCAACGAGCGCAACCCUCGUUCCAUGUUGCCAGCGGGUUAUGCCGGGGACUCAUGGGAGACUGCCGGGGUCAACUCGGAGGAAGGUGGGGACGACGUCAAAUCAUCAUGCCCCUUAUGUCUUGGGCUUCACGCAUGCUACAAUGGCCGGUACAAAGGGUUGCGAUGCUGUGAGGUGGAGCUAAUCCCAAAAAGCCGGUCUCAGUUCGGAUUGAGGUCUGCAACUCGACCUCAUGAAGUCGGAGUCGCUAGUAAUCGCAGAUCAGCAACGCUGCGGUGAAUACGUUCCCGGGCCUUGUACACACCGCCCGUCAAGUCACGAAAGUUGGUAACACCCGAAGCCGGUGGCCUAACCCUUU